AUCUGGUCACACCUCAGUGGGAAGGUCUCCUGGUUAACUUGCAGUGGUUGAAACUCUAAAAUCAAAUCUGCCUGAAGUCUCCUGUUUGAUACUGUGGUGUGGUUGUAAUUCACCCUCCCCAGAACGUACUGGCAAGCGGAUCAUCCUGCUGUUGGGCCGGAAAGGGCUCUCUGGUCGGGAUAGAGUCAGCCAGCCCUGAUAUAAAGCUGCUGCAGCUUACCGGAGACCCUGCUGCUUUAUUUUUGUUUGUUUAUUUAACUUUGGUUGUUUUGAGUUAUCCUAUUGUCCUGUGUGGCCUCCGGCUUUGCUGCAUGAUGUAACUUUUU
Molecule: long non-coding RNA, 326 nt
Organism: Fundulus heteroclitus (mummichog)
Lineage: Eukaryota; Metazoa; Chordata; Actinopteri; Cyprinodontiformes; Fundulidae
Exons: 4
Source: RefSeq, a predicted model, not a curated record